AUUAUAUAUUUUUUUAAAUUGUUUUCGUUUUGAUAAUGGAUCGAAAUUUUAUGCAUUCUGUAGAACGACGUAGGCGAAUGUUCGUACGCAUUAUCCGCCGUGGGGAGAGAGUUAACGUCAUUGAUGCUCCGUUUUACUACCGUGAUUUAGUACAUCUUAAUUUCCGACGUGAAUCCAAUCUGCGAAGUAUAUAGACAAUCACAGCAAGAGGUUUGGUAUCUAACAACAUAUCUUUGGGUAUUGACCACACUCCUUAACCACUAAUUCAGUUAUUCGAUUGUACUAAUCUAAUAAAUUAUUUUUGGAUAUCGAGUAGAUUGUUCAACCAAUAAUACGGUUACUUAAUUGCAGCUAUCUAACAACAUAUCUUUGGACAUCGAGUACACUGUUCAACCAAUAAUACGGUUACGCAAUUGCAGAUAUCUAAGAAGUCUUUGAAUAUUGAGUGCAUUGUUCAACCUUUAUUUCGGUUAUUCGAUUGCAGAUAUCUAACAACAGAUCUUUGCAUAUCGAGUAUAGUGUUCAUCCACUAAUCUGGUUAUUCGAUUGCAGGUAUCUAACAAUAUAUCUAUGGAUAUUGAGCAUACUGUCUAACCAAUAAUCCGGUUACUCAAUUGCAGGUAUCCAACAACGUGUUUGAACAUGGUUUGCAUAUUGAGUACACUGUUCAACCAUUGAUCCGGUUAUAGGAUUGCAACAAUCUAACAACAUGUUUUUGGAUAUCGAGUACACUGUUCAAACAUUAAUAUCAUACAAAGCAACUAGUGCCAGACAGAAAAAUGUUCGGAGCGUAAGGAAUAGAAGAUAGGAUAGAAGAGACAGCAUAGUAGAGAAGAUUUGGAGUUUUCAUUUCAAAAUCAGAAAAUGUAAAAUUAUUUGGAUCUAAUAAAAUUAAACUAAUCGUUAA
Molecule: long non-coding RNA, 907 nt
Organism: Teleopsis dalmanni
Lineage: Eukaryota; Metazoa; Arthropoda; Insecta; Diptera; Diopsidae
Exons: 2
Source: RefSeq, a predicted model, not a curated record